Molecule: long non-coding RNA, 691 nt
Filed under: Chrysemys picta bellii (western painted turtle)
Lineage: Eukaryota; Metazoa; Chordata; Testudines; Emydidae
Description: lncRNA (ENSCPBG00000018870.1)
Source: RNAcentral
GCACUGUCAUGCCCGGCAGUACCUGUGCUAGACAGGCAGCCCUUGCUGAUGUUAAUCAGCACCUGUCUCUCCUUUUGCAGGCUAAGAAAGCUGCAGGAGGAGCAGGGUUUCUCCCUCUGCUGGCAGCCCAGAGCCGUCAGUGGGGCCAAUAAACGCAAUAAACCAUUUCUGUAAAGUGCAAAUGAAGAGGGAUUUGGAGGAUCUGAAACAGCCAAAACCUGCUGGAGCACAGGAAACCAAGAACACAGUGAUGGCCUUGCCUUCCACUGGGAGGAGCCAGGCCAUCUUGCGGCUAGGAGAGACCAACACUAUGGCGCGAAGGAGACCAUCCCAACGUUUCUACCUUCCGCGCAUUUUUCCACUCCCUUUGUUGACGGGAUUUGUACAUGCUAUUAAAUUGCCAGUGCCAAGAAUCAACGUGAACCCAUUUCCACCUGAUUCUGACAUGCCAGCAUCACAAAAUACAUUCAUCUCCAUGCAUCAGAAAGUCCAGAAAUAUUUCAUCCCCAAAGUUCUCACUUGCAGAUAGCUAUCCCUGAAGGCAUGGCUAGCCAAGAUGGCUCUGCAUUGACCGGACUCCCAGACUUGAUCAUUAGCAGAGGCCAUUGAACGAGAAUGAUAAUGGGCUCUUCUAGGUCUGGCUAUAAGGAAACUAAAUAAACUAUAGUCUAUAUAUAUGGUAAAGAUGAGA